CGUACACUCCUACGGGAGGCAGCAGUGGGGAAUAUUGCACAAUGGGCGCAAGCCUGAUGCAGCGACGCCGCGUGGGGGAUGACGGCCUUCGGGUUGUAAACUCCUUUCGCUAGGGACGAAGCUUUUUUGUGACGGUACCUAGAUAAGAAGCACCGGCUAACUACGUGCCAGCAGCCGCGGUAAUACGUAGGGUGCGAGCGUUGUCCGGAAUUACUGGGCGUAAAGGGCUCGUAGGUGGUUUGUCGCGUCGUCUGUGAAAUUCUGGGGCUUAACUCCGGGCGUGCAGGCGAUACGGGCAUAACUUGAGUGCUGUAGGGGUAACUGGAAUUCCUGGUGUAGCGGUGAAAUGCGCAGAUAUCAGGAGGAACACCGAUGGCGAAGGCAGGUUACUGGGCAGUUACUGACGCUGAGGAGCGAAAGCAUGGGUAGCGAACAGGAUUAGAAACCCCAGUAGUCCC
Molecule: ribosomal RNA, 458 nt
Filed under: uncultured organism
Description: partial 16S ribosomal RNA
Rfam family: Bacterial small subunit ribosomal RNA
Source: RNAcentral